Molecule: long non-coding RNA, 377 nt
Organism: Myotis brandtii (Brandt's bat)
Lineage: Eukaryota; Metazoa; Chordata; Mammalia; Chiroptera; Vespertilionidae
Exons: 3
Source: RefSeq, a predicted model, not a curated record
UAUCAGAUGGACUGUAGCUAUAUCACAGAGCUUAUGUUCAAGGAACCCUUAUUUUACUUAGUAAUGGUUCAAAGUGCAAGAGUAGUGAAGCUGACAAUUCCAGAGAAGCUGUAAAAUACUUCCUUUAAGUGGAAAGGGCAAUCAAGUGAGAGCCUUAACUCUGCACUCUCUUAUUCUGUUGAUGACUGUUUCAUUUAUGCUUCCUGGACCAGUGUUGCAUGGUUUAGUACCACCAGCCUCCCCAGUCACCUUUAUCAUCAGCAGGUGACCUAACGAAUCAAUCUCCAUUCAAAACAACAACAACAACAAAACGAAGCAAAAAGCAGACUGUGGCCUUACCAAAACCAAAGACACAUCCAAGCAAUAAAGUGGAAGAC